AGGGCUUGACAUGCAGCUGCACGUCCGGUGAAAGUCGGAUUCCUUUGAGGGUGCUGCACAGGUGGUGCAUGGCUGUCGUCAGUUCGUGCCGUGAGGUGUUGGGUUGAGUCCCGCAACGAACGCAACCCUUGUGUUUAGUUGCUACCGGAGGUGAUGAGCCUUCGGGCACUCUAGACAGACUGCCCGUGUAAGCGGGAGGAAGGUGGGGAUGACGUCAAGUCAGUAUGUCCCUUACGUCCUGGGCUGCACACGUGCUACAAUGGCAGGUACAGUGAGAAGCGAAACCGCGAGGUGGAGCAAAUCUCCAAAACCUGCCUCAGUUCGGAUUGGAGUCUGCAACUCGACUCCAUGAAGC
This 355-nucleotide ribosomal RNA is filed under the name uncultured bacterium. RNAcentral describes it as "bacterial SSU rRNA". It matches the Rfam family "Bacterial small subunit ribosomal RNA", at positions 976 to 1326 of the family's 1533-position model. The record is from RNAcentral.